AUGGCCGCCGCACUGAGCCUCCGCGCGCCCUUCUCCGUGCGCGCCGUGGCGCCACCGGCGCCCCGCGUGGCCCUGGCGCCCGCGGCCCUCAGCCUCGCCGCCGCCAAGCAGGUGCGGGGAGCCAGGCUCCGCGCGCAGGCGACGUACAAGGUGAAGCUGGUGACGCCCGAGGGCGAGGUGGAGCUGGAGGUCCCCGACGACGUCUACAUCCUCGACCAGGCCGAGGAGGAGGGGAUCGACCUGCCCUACUCCUGCCGCGCCGGCUCCUGCUCCUCCUGCGCCGGCAAGUUGGUGUCCGGCGAGAUCGACCAGUCCGACCAGAGCUUCCUCGACGACGACCAGAUGGAGGCCGGGUGGGUGCUCACCUGCCACGCCUACCCCAAGUCCGACAUCGUCAUCGAGACCCACAAGGAGGAGGAGCUCACCGCAUAA
RNAcentral lists this ribosomal RNA (432 nucleotides) under Triticum aestivum (bread wheat). RNAcentral's name for it is "partial small subunit ribosomal RNA". The record is from RNAcentral. Lineage: Eukaryota; Viridiplantae; Streptophyta; Magnoliopsida; Poales; Poaceae.